This is an RNA transcript of Selaginella moellendorffii, 2059 nucleotides long. It is a transcript of the gene named E3 ubiquitin-protein ligase COP1, with no coding region annotated. The record is from RefSeq and is a predicted model, not a curated record. The transcript is spliced from 13 exons. Lineage: Eukaryota; Viridiplantae; Streptophyta; Lycopodiopsida; Selaginellales; Selaginellaceae.
ACAAUAAUCCCUAGAGCGGGACGGGCGAGAAGACGAAGAAGGCAGAAAAGAAGAAGUGCGGGGUCUUGUAAGUUCGUCCUAUUAAGGCGAGAGAAUGUUAGAGGCUCACGGAGAUGCAAGCUCGCCCCUCUGACGCUGCCCAAGUUCCAUCCGUGUGUGGGACGAGAACCGAGGCCUCCAGCUACAAUCUCGAGCUCGACAGGGAUUUCCUGUGCCCGAUAUGCAUCCAGACGAUCAAAGACGCGUUUUUGACGAGCUGCGGCCACAGCUUUUGCUAUAUGUGCAUCAUGACGCAUCUAAACAUCAAGAGCAACUGUCCCUGCUGUGGAGCUUACUUGACCAGCGGCCAGCUCUACCCAAAUUUCCUUCUCAACAAGAUUUUGAGGAAGGCGAGUGUGUGCCAAGUUGCCAGCUCUGCGUCACCGGGAGAGCACCUGCGGCUUGCUCUCAAACAGGGAGCAGACAUCUCGAUGAAAGACAUCGAUACACUUUUGAGUUUGUUGACUGAAAAGAAACGCAAGGCCGAACGGGAGGAGGCUGAAACAAAUUUGGAGGUCUUGCAUGAUUUCUUGCAGCGGUCAAGGCAACAGAAGCAGCAAGAGUUAAACGAGAUACAAACAGACCUGCAAUGGCUCAAGGAAGACAUUGCUGCUGUUGAAAAGCAGGCGACUAGCUUGAAGAAAUCCAAAGAACGUCAUGCGUCGCCUGUUCACCAAAAGCUUCCUAGCUCUCGCUGUCGCGCCAAGGCGUCCGAAGCGGAAGGGAGAUCCCCGGAUGGAGAAAAAGCUCGUCUUAAGCGAGCGCAAACUGAUGACGAGGGAACGUCUGGAGUGAGAGAAAGUGAGGUUCUUUCGAAAAAGAGGCGAGUGCUUUCUCAGUUUGAAGACCUGCAAGAUUGUUAUUUGCAAAAGCGAAAGCAAUCACAAGAUCCUAGUGAGACAGGCGAGAGCUUGUCGAGUCAUGCCACAGGAUUGGAAGACUUCCAAGCCGUUCUUAAUUCUUUCACGCGAUACAGCCAGCUCCGGGUGGUCGCUGAAGUACGACAUCCUGAUCUUUUCCAGAAUUCCAAUAUAGUCUCCAGCAUAGAGUUUGACAGGGACGACGAGUUCUUCGCUACUGCGGGAGUGUCCCGUAGGAUAAAAGUGUUCGAGUACUCUGCCGUUGUUAAUAGCAGCGCGGACGUGCAUUAUCCGGCGAUGGAGAUCCCUUCGCGUGCGAAGCUCAGCUGCCUCAGCUGGAACAAAUGCAUCAAACACCACAUUGCGAGCAGCGACUACGAUGGGAGUGUCACCAUAUGGGACGUGAAUAAUGCGCAGAGUAUCAUGGAGUACGAAGAGCAUGCCAAGCGAGCGUGGAGUGUCGAUUUUGCUAGAACCGAUCCCAAUUUACUUGUUUCUGGCAGUGACGAUGGCAAGCUCAAAGUGUGGUCUACUCGACAGGAGAGCAGCGUCAUGGGAAUCGACAUGAAAGCCAACAUCUGCUGCGUCAAGUUCAAUCCCAGCUCCAGCAAUUUUGUAGCGGUACUCUUUUUCUAUCUCUUGUUGGAUCGGCCGAUCACCGCAUACAUUACUACGAUUUGCGCUCUCCUGCUUCGCCAGUCCACACCUUUAGCGGCCACCAAAAGACCGUCUCGUACGUGAAGUUCAUCACGCCGGAGGAGCUCGUGUCCGCAUCGACUGAUAGCACCUUGCGGAUCUGGAAUGUCAGAACCAACACUCCGAUUAGAACGCUAACUGGGCAUAUCAACGAGAGGAACUUCGUUGGUUUGAGCGGUAACAGUGACUACGUAACCUGUGGAAGUGAAACCAACGAAGUGUUCGUGUAUCACAAGGCGAUCUCUAGACCAGCAACUCGACACCGAUUUGGAAGCUUAGACGACUCAUUGCAUUUCAUCAGCGCCGUGUGUUGGAAGAGCGACAGUCCAACUUUGUUAGCCGCCAAUAGCCAGGGAACCAUCAAAGUUCUAGUUAUGGCCGCCUAACGACGAAGUUUUGUUAGCUUUUUGUUAGCCAGGAGAAUCGAACGCGAGAUAUAAAGCAAACCGAGAGAAUUUAGGGUU